Molecule: unclassified non-coding RNA, 225 nt
Filed under: Hevea brasiliensis (rubber tree)
Lineage: Eukaryota; Viridiplantae; Streptophyta; Magnoliopsida; Malpighiales; Euphorbiaceae
Source: RNAcentral
UUUUGUCUUGAAUGCGGUUUUCCAUUCAUCCCCCUCUUUCAUUCUAAUUUGAUGGUAACCGUUUUUGAAUUCAAUCUUUGUAAACACACAUGCACCAAACAACUCAUCAAGCAUAUCAUCCAAUCGAGGAAUGGGAUGUCGAUACUUUACCGUGAUUUUGUUGAUAGCAUGACAAUCUACACACAUUCUGAAUGUCCCAUUCUUCUUUGGUACAAGGAGCACUGG